RNA transcript from Onychostoma macrolepis, 3783 nucleotides. RefSeq lists it as uncharacterized. The transcript has 9 exons. The record is from RefSeq and is a predicted model, not a curated record. Lineage: Eukaryota; Metazoa; Chordata; Actinopteri; Cypriniformes; Cyprinidae.
CCCCCUUUAUUUUUAUUUUUAUUUUUAUUUUUAUUUACUAAUUAUUAUUGUUUUUAUUUUUUAUGGCGAUAGUGGCGAUUCUGUUAUUUUUUUUUAUUUUUUUAUUCCGCCAUGGUUUUUUUUGUGUUGAUAUUGUCAGAGUACCAGUGGUGGAGGGAGAUCCAGUCACUCUAAACACUGAUGUUGAAACAAACCAACAAGAAGAUAUUAAAUGGUAUUUUAAUGACAUUCGAAUCGCUGAAAUUAGUGGAGAUUUCAGUGAUAUCUGUACAGAUGUUCAGUGUAAUAAUGGCACUGAGAGAUUCAGAGACAGACUGCAGCUGGAUCAUCAGACUGGAUCUCUGACCAUCACAAACACCAGAACCACAGAUGCUGGACUUUAUGAACUAAAGAUCAUCAGCAGCAGCAACAUCAGUGAAAAGACCUUCAAUGUUACUGUUUUCGGUGUUUCUGCUUCUGAACAAGAUGAAAAUCCAGUGAAGGAGGGAGAAUCUGUCACUUUAGGUCCUGGUCUAGUAAGACAACCAAAUGAGGUGAUGAGAUGGUAUUAUAAUGGCAUUCUCAUCGCUGAAAUCACUGGAGAUCAGAGUGAGAUCUGUACAGAUGAUCAGUGCAAAGAGAGAUUCAGAGACAGACUGAAGCUGGAUCAUCAGACUGGAUCUCUGACCAUCACAAACACCAGAACCACAGACUCUGGACUUUAUACACUAAAGAUCAGCAGCAGCCUUCAUCACAGCAACCGUGCAACCAGUGUGAAGAGCUUUGGUGUUACUGUUACUGCUCCAGAUUCAGGUCUGUCUUCAGCUGCUGCAGCAGGAAUAGCUGUUGCUGUUAUUCUGCCUUUGGCUGCAGCUGCUGUUGCUUUUGGUGUGAUUUACUAUCGCAAGCAUCAAGAAAGAAGAGAAGACAGCAGGAGGCAGCACAGUGGUCAGAAAAUGAGUGAGGUGAACUGAAGAGAAGAAGUGCUAACAUGGAGCUGUGAAUCUGAAGGAUCUGGAGAGAUUCUGGAUGAAGGAAUGGUCUCUGAUCUCUUAUCAGGUGUUCUCCAAACUCUUCAGAUGAAUCAGAAUGAUGCUCUAGAGACCCAAGAGGCCUCACUGUAGGAGACUUCGACAUACUGUUGAACAUUACCGAUGGGACGUGCUGUAAUCAGACUGUCACGAUCACCAGCAGGAGUGCCCUUGAGCUCCACCAAUGGGCACUCCAUCCCUGAUUUUUACUAUUCACUCAGGACACCUUUUUCCAUAAUCCUUUGCCCAGACUCAUCCGCAGUCAUCAGUUGACCUAUCGGAUAUUUCCUUCUAAUGUCAUGCAAAAUCAUACCCAGGGGGCCAUUUUUAUGUUUCUCACCACUCCAACACCCCAGAAUCUCUCAAUGUUUUGUGUGGGAGCACCUGGCCGAGGAUCAACAAAUACCUCUUUAUGGUUCACAGUUAGAUGGUUAUAUCCAGCAUCUCUGAGACAGUUAUAGGCUCUCCACCCAUCUGACACAACAGUGCUUCCUUGUCUAACAUGCUUCUGGAGAAUUGGCAUGAGGUGUUGAGCUGAACGCUGAUUGACAACUCUCAGAAUGGGUCUUCUGCACUCCUCUUUGACCCCGAGCAUUCCAAACACCCAUGAUGCCCUGUUGCUCUGUCUUCCUCGGUUGUACUAAAAAUGACAAAAUUUAAGAUUUUAUUUUAUCAUUCAUCUUUACUAUAAUGUGUGACCAGAUGUAAUUGAAAAUAUAUUACCUUUUGUGGCCAAAUUUGCUCUCAUCAAUGAAAACAAUUUUGUGUCUUUUUCCAAUUUUCAGGUCUCCUCUUCUCUUCAUUCUUUUAAUUGCAGAUUUGCAGACUCCACACAAACGACAAGCAAGUAUAGUCAGUGCGUGGAAGAGAUUCCAGUGAUGCCUUCCUGUAGCACAUCCACUUGCCACAACUUGAGUCCUUGUGAAAAUUCAGUCCUUGAGGUUGAGAUUAGACUUGGAAAAUACUGAGCCACUUUCAGAUGCUUUUGCUGUAUGACUUACUGUGCCAUUUAUCUUGACACACAAAAGUAUUAAAAUAAGCAUAUUAACUUCACAACACCAAAAAUAUUUAAAGAUGUAAUACUUUCAAAGCAAAUGCGUAUUUUAUUAAUAAAAACACUCCUGUUUUUAAAUAAUAAUUAUUUCAUAAUGAUAUAAAUAGUUUAAUGUGUCACACUUUAUAUGUGACCCUGGACCACAAAACCAGUCUUAAGUGUAAAUUUUUCGAAAUUGAGAUUUAUACAUCAAUAAAUAAGCUUUCCAUUGAUGUAUGGUUUGUUAGGAUCGGACAAUAUUUGGCUGAGAUACAACUAUUUGAAAAUCUGGAAUCUGAGGGUGCAAAAAAAUCUAAAUAUUGAGAAAAUCGCCUUUGAAGUUGUCCAAAUUAAGUUAUUAGCAAUGCAUAUUACCAAUCCAAAAUUAAGUUUUUAUACAUUUACGGUAAGAAAUUUAUCUUCAUGAACAUGAUAUUUACUUAAUAUACUAAUGAUUUUUGGCAUAAAAGGAAAAUCGAUAAUUUUGACCCAUACAGUGUAUUUUUGGCUAUUGCUACAAAUAUACCCCAGCAACUUGAGACUGGUUUUGUGCUCCAGGGUCACAUAUAACCUUGCUAUGUGUACUGCGUUGGGCUAACCAAAAUGAAGCAGACGAAGCAGCAUAUAAUUGUAUUAGCAGAUCCUUGUCACUGUACAUGUACAGUGAAACAGGUGGAGCAAUCUCCAGAUGCCUUCAUAGUAAAUGAAUACAAAUACAUAAAUGCCCAUGUACGAAUCCACACACAAGUUUUACUCAAUAAAGCCUAUGCAACUAUUCAAUAUACUAUGCAAUAAAAUACAAUAAAACCUCAAAAACAAAUGUACAUAAAUGUAAACAUUAUAUGCAAUAAGACAGAAAGUGACAAGUGCUGAGAUACUGUAAUGUGAGAGCCAUACUGAACUGAAUAAUUAUGACAGGUUUUAGUUUUUGAUUGUUCUCUUGAUUCCACACACACAAUUUGCAUUUGAGGAUCUUGUAAUAUGUGACCGGUGUUUUGUUUUGUUUUGCUCUAUCCUCCGUGCUUCUGUGUUCAUCAAUAUGUCAAGCAUAAGUUUGUUUCACUGGAUCAAACCCAGCUGAAUUUUGCAGGAUUUGUUCUCGUGGUGACAGAUGCAUACACAACAUGAGUCCCCUCUUUAACGUUCUGUAAAAAACAUCACAUAAGAUAUAAUACUAUUAAAAUUAUUAUAUUAAAAAUGUGGUGUCCUGAAGGUUGGUUGAGAUUGAAUGUAAAAUAACAGUCAUAUAAUUUAAUGAUAAAACUAAUAUCUUCUUCCUAACAUGAAGCAGAUUGAAACUGGGUUUUCAGUGGUUUUGCUUCAGGAUCCAAAUUUUACAUUGGGCAUCAAGUGGUGACACAAAAUUGUUACUCUUUCAAAAGUAAACAUUGCCAUAAAAUCAAAUACUGAAAAAGAAGCAAAAAUUGUAACUUUACAUCAGCUUGUCACUGAGAAAGUACACUCACACCUUCUCUACCCCUAAAGUACAACUAUGCACCCUUUAAGGAUGGAGAAGUUAUUACUCAAACGAUAACCGAUUGUUCCAGCGAUUAAUUGGCAAAAAUGAUAAAUAGUUGUUGUUUUUUUUUGGUUUGUUUGUUUUUUACAUUGAUUAUAUUAUAUUAUAAAUAUCUGAUAUGAUGCUGUUGUGUGUGAUGUAUAUGAUUGAUCAUUAUACAAAAAUAAAAACACAUCCAUAUCUGACUCACAGCUAAAAUAAUACAGAGACUAAAUGCAGAG